This 253-nucleotide ribosomal RNA is filed under the name uncultured bacterium. Its description in RNAcentral is "partial 16S ribosomal RNA". It matches the Rfam family "Bacterial small subunit ribosomal RNA", at positions 524 to 776 of the family's 1533-position model. The record is from RNAcentral.
UACGGAGGGUGCGAGCGUUGUCCGGAAUCACUGGGCGUAAAGGGUGCGCAGGCGGCUCUGUAAGUCAGAUGUGAAAUCCCCGGGCUUAACCUGGGAAUUGCGUUUGAAACUACAGGGCUAGAGUGUAGCAGAGGGGGGUGGAAUUCCAUGUGUAGCAGUGAAAUGCGUAGAGAUAUGGAAGAACAUCGAUGGCGAAGGCAGCCCCCUGGGUUAACACUGACGCUCAGGCACGAAAGCGUGGGGAGCAAACAGG